Molecule: ribosomal RNA, 253 nt
Filed under: uncultured bacterium
Lineage: Bacteria
Description: partial 16S ribosomal RNA
Rfam family: Bacterial small subunit ribosomal RNA
Source: RNAcentral
UACGAAGGGGGCUAGCGUUGCUCGGAAUCACUGGGCGUAAAGGGUGUGUAGGCGGUUUUCUAAGUUUGGUGUGAAAUCUCCCGGCUCAACCGGGAGGGUGCGCCGAAAACUGGGAGACUAGAGUGCGGGAUGGGAGAGUAGAAUUCCUGGUGUAGCGGUGAAAUGCGUAGAUAUCAGGAGGAAUACCGGUGGUGUAGCCGGCUCUCUGGACCGCCACUGACGCUUAGACACGAAAGCGUGGGUAGCAAACAGG